RNAcentral lists this ribosomal RNA (254 nucleotides) under uncultured bacterium. Its description in RNAcentral is "partial 16S ribosomal RNA". It matches the Rfam family "Bacterial small subunit ribosomal RNA", at positions 524 to 776 of the family's 1533-position model. The record is from RNAcentral.
UACGUAGGGGGCGAGCGUUGUCCGGAUUUAUUGGGCGUAAAGAGCUCGUAGGCGGUUUGGUAAGUUUGAUGUGAAAUCUCCAGGCUCAACUUGGAGGGGUCAUUCGAUACUGCCAUGACUAGAGUUCGGUAGGGGAGUGUGGAAUUCCUGGUGGAGCGGUGAAAUGCGCAGAUAUCAGGAGGAACACCCGUAGCGAAGGCGGCACUCUGGGCCGGAACUGACGCUGAGGAGCGAAAGCGUGGGGAGCGAACAGG